This 253-nucleotide ribosomal RNA is filed under the name uncultured bacterium. RNAcentral's name for it is "partial 16S ribosomal RNA". It matches the Rfam family "Bacterial small subunit ribosomal RNA", at positions 524 to 776 of the family's 1533-position model. The record is from RNAcentral.
GACAUAGGUGGCAAACGUUAUCCGGAAUUACUGGGCGUAAAGAGCUCGUAGGUGGUUUGUCGCGUUGUUCGUGAAAACUCACAGCUUAACUGUGGGCGUGCGGGCGAUACGGGCAGACUGGAGUACUGCAGGGGAGACUGGAAUUCCUGGUGUAGCGGUGGAAUGCGUAGAUAUCUGGAGGAACACCGGUGGCGAAGGCGGCAUUCUGGACCGAUAUUGACGCUGAGGAGCGAAAGCCAGGGGAGCAAACGGG